CGCGGCUAAACCAUGCACCGAAGCUGCGGCAGCGACACUAUGUGUUGUUGGGUAGGGGAGCGUUCUGUAAGCCUGCGAAGGUGUGCUGUGAGGCAUGCUGGAGGUAUCAGAAGUGCGAAUGCUGACAUAAGUAACGAUAAAGCGGGUGAAAAGCCCGCUCGCCGGAAGACCAAGGGUUCCUGUCCAACGUUAAUCGGGGCAGGGUGAGUCGACCCCUAAGGCGAGGCC
Molecule: ribosomal RNA, 228 nt
Filed under: Acinetobacter baumannii
Lineage: Bacteria; Pseudomonadati; Pseudomonadota; Gammaproteobacteria; Moraxellales; Moraxellaceae
Description: partial 23S ribosomal RNA
Rfam family: Bacterial large subunit ribosomal RNA
Source: RNAcentral